UGAUAAUUAGUUUAAGAUAAAAUAAAUGAUUUCGACUCAUUAGAUUAUGGUUAUAAACAUAAUUAUCAAC
Molecule: transfer RNA, 70 nt
Filed under: Plecotus auritus (brown big-eared bat)
Lineage: Eukaryota; Metazoa; Chordata; Mammalia; Chiroptera; Vespertilionidae
Description: tRNA-Arg
Rfam family: tRNA
About the family: Transfer RNA (tRNA) molecules are approximately 80 nucleotides in length. Their secondary structure includes four short double-helical elements and three loops (D, anti-codon, and T loops). Further hydrogen bonds mediate the characteristic L-shaped molecular structure. tRNAs have two regions of fundamental functional importance: the anti-codon, which is responsible for specific mRNA codon recognition, and the 3' end, to which the tRNAs corresponding amino acid is attached (by aminoacyl-tRNA synthetases). tRNAs cope with the degeneracy of the genetic code in two manners: having more than one tRNA (with a specific anti-codon) for a particular amino acid; and 'wobble' base-pairing, i.e. permitting non-standard base-pairing at the 3rd anti-codon position.
Source: RNAcentral